Molecule: long non-coding RNA, 1867 nt
Organism: Brienomyrus brachyistius
Lineage: Eukaryota; Metazoa; Chordata; Actinopteri; Osteoglossiformes; Mormyridae
Exons: 3
Source: RefSeq, a predicted model, not a curated record
CUUGAGUGAAGCCACGCCCUCUCAUCAGUGAAGAACAGGAAUAUUCCGGUUUUUCCAGGUUGCCUGAAAAAAUGUAGUCACGUAGUUUUCUUAGACGGUGAACAAGCUGUAUUACAAAGAGCAAAAAGUUUUUUCUUUUGGAGAUACACCGAAAUAUUAAAGAAAUAUUCAGAGAGCGAGACAACAUUGGUUGUGAUGGCUGAACGUUUUUUCCUGCUACUAGUCACCCAUGAGGCACGGAGCAGCCGCGUGAGCACAUUUUGACCAGAGGUCAGGUCCUUUUAGCGGGAACCUAAACUUCCUGGAGCUGCAUUCGAAUAUCGUUGGAUGUCGAUGCUGGAACUGGCGUGGACAGGAAGUUGGGGGAGGUACUCAAUGGUAGGGCUUCACUGCACUUACUCAGUACUUCCUCUACAGCUCUCUGUGUAGAAAAAUAGAGUUUUCAGUUACCAUGGCAUUCACAAGGUCCAAGGAGGACGACACUAAUUCAGUAUACCCCAGCUUUAUCCAUGCAAAACACCAAGACAAGCUUAAGCUACAGAAUGGUAACAGAGAUGGGACAGGACAAGGAUUCACUAUUGUGAAUAGCACAUCUUUACCUCAACCGCUUUGACCAACUCGACCAGGUCAAUUUGGCGUGACUCCACAGGCUGGGGGAUCUCAAGACUGCUCUGCUUUGCAUCCUCCAGUAAAGGCUCAACUGCGAGAAAGCAUGGAUUUGCCAGGUCAAGCGUCUGAGCCUGAGGAACUGAGAGAUGAUCUACUAGUGUGAUUUAUGCUGAUGGAAUUUACCUCUGGAUCGCUUCUUUUGUAGCAGGUGCAUGAACCAGUUGAAAAUCUUCACAAAUCGAUUUACUGCUUAAAGCGCCGCAGCUUAAUCACAGCUACUAGCUGGCAGUGUCUUUGGAGUGAAGCCCUAGGGUGUUGGUUUAACAUGCAUCAGUUAAGCAAACCAAUCCCAUCCAUCCAUCCAUCUUAUGUUACUGUAAUUUUAUAGGAAGGGUAAAUACCAGUGACCUCAGCAGACCAGCUAAUCAUCCACAUCCCACCAGUUUGCAAGUGGACCAACCUUUGUGAAGAACUUGUGGCCACGGAUAUUCUGCGGUGACGGGCGAUCCCGUGGGUCGAUUUGAAAUAUUUUGCCCAUCAGUUUCCCAGCUUCAAUACCGAGGUUCUGGUGUAGAAUAAAUUUAGCUUCUUUGAUGUUCUUUAUCAUUUCACAGCGAUCGUCGUGAUCGAAUGGGAUUUCCCCAACCAGAAGCUGGUACCUGUAGUAAGAAAGGCAGCAAAGGUGUUUGAGGUCUUUCACAUUUGACAUAAAAAUGCUGUGCUUCCAAAAGAGCAAUUCCUCUCAACUGUGUGCCAGUAUUCAUUUUUCUUUUCUAUUUCAAGUAGAAAAAAAAAAAACAUAUUUAUGCAUGUUAGACGCUUGUCUUCUUAAAAUGUUAGACAGAUUUUAUUAGCCAUGCUGAUCUUUGGCCGGGAGGAGGGUUGAUAGGGUAUACGUACAUGACACAGCCCAGUGCCCAGACUUCUGCUUCCGUUCCAUGUCCCUCUCGUUUCCACACUUCUGGAGCCAUGUAACAUGGAGUACCACACACUUCUCUACAACACACACAAAUGGAAAACGUUAAGCGCACAUGUGCUUUAGCUUGCUGUAUAAACAAAUUUGAAAGCUUAGCCAGGAAUUCUGCAAAAAACACCUACUUGUCCCUCGGCUCCAGCUUGAUCGCCAGUCCGAAAUCCCCAAUUUUCAGUUUCAUUUGGUCACUGACAAAUAAGUUUUCUGAAAGACAAACAAAUUUGCAUUAAGGAUAGACUCAAAUACACACGUGGACAAAAUUGUUGGUACCCUUCAGUCAAUGAA